UCACGCUGUCGGGCCAACAGCCUGUUUCAGUAUCGCGAGCCAGUCAGAAAAGCCUAUCAUGGAUGCUGACAUCGUUAACACCCUAGAGCAAAGAGAACAGUUUGCAGCCUCCCAAAGUAUUUUUAGUUGAAGCUCGAUGACAUUGCACUAGUUUGUGAACCACCGAAGCUAACAAGCUAACGAGCUAACAAGCUUCGGGCCAUCGUCCGCCUGCAUGGUGCCGUCCAAUGAAGUUUGAAGCCUUUGGGUUGCUCUGGCUCUUUCUGAUUUGGUGUUACGGUUUUUGAGGCUCACCAAUGGUUUACAUCUUGGGAUGAACCCUUGCCUCUGUCUUUUAUUUCUUUUUAAGGAAAGUAGCACACAGUUGAAUAGGCCACACAUAAUGUUUUUGCUGUAUCUCUGAUGGGUUUGUUUUGAUUUUUCAGCCUGAUGAUGGCUUGCUUCACUCUGAGCGACAGCUCUCCGGGCUUGAUGUUCAGAGUUGACGGCGACAGAUUUCAAAUGGGAAUCCCGCACUUUGAAUGAACUCUAGACCUUUUAUCGGCUCCUUGUUAAUGAAAUAAUGAGGGAAUAACACACCGUGGACGUGGCACAGCCGAUCAGCCAAUUGUUAAAUGACUUUCACUUACUUCAAAAGUAGGGACCGUGUCAUUUGUUGUAAUUGGUACAGUGUACUUGAUUUAGGCAUCAAUACCUUCCAUUAAAAUUAAAGCUGAAA
Pungitius pungitius (ninespine stickleback) is the source of this 718-nucleotide long non-coding RNA. RefSeq lists it as uncharacterized. The transcript is spliced from 3 exons. The record is from RefSeq and is a predicted model, not a curated record. NCBI's taxonomy places the organism in Eukaryota, Metazoa, Chordata, Actinopteri, Perciformes, Gasterosteidae.